Molecule: ribosomal RNA, 406 nt
Filed under: uncultured bacterium
Lineage: Bacteria
Description: partial 16S ribosomal RNA
Rfam family: Bacterial small subunit ribosomal RNA
Source: RNAcentral
AUUGAACGCUGGCGGCAGGCCUAACACGUGCAAGUCGAACGAGUGGCGGACGGGUGAGUAAUGUCUGGGAUACUGCCCGAUGGAGGGGGAUAACUACUGGAAACGGUAGCUAAUACCGCAUACCAUCGGAUGUGCCCAGAUGGGAUUAGCUUGUAGGUGGGGUAACGGCUUACCGGGGUGACGAUCCCUAGCUGGUCUGAGAGGAUGACCAGCCAAACUGGAACUGAGACACGGUCCAGACGCCUACGGGAGGCAGCAGUGGGGAAGAUUGCACAAUGGGCGCAAGCCUGAGACAGCCAUGCCGCGUGUAUGAAGAAGGCCUUCGGGUUGUAAAGUACUUUAAGCGGGGAGGCGUUACCCGCAGAAGAAGCACCGGCUAACUCCGUGCCAGCAGCCGCGGUAAUAC